CUUAUUUUAAUGGUAAGCUUGUUCAAAUAGAAUAGGGAAAUUGUAAACUAUUAACAGUUAAGAGUACUUUCAUUAGCAGGGAGGAAGAUGAUGAGUCUCAGGAUAUUAUACUAUACUGUGACAUGGUGACUGAUGAGUUACAACAAUCAUGAAAAUCUCGGGAUGGUUUCUGACAGUAGUUUCAGUGCCUCUUCACACACCGACACAGAGGUUAAUUACUGAACAAUAUAUCAGAAAUAUUAAGUUACAACAACCGAGUCCCGUAUCAGUUCUUGACUCUUAGUUUUACAAAGACGACUCGUCGUGUUCACCAUCUCCAAUAAUGAAAAGAUGCAUUGAAUAUAAAGUGAGAGCCCUUGUUUCAGUUGUUCACAUGUAAACUUGAGUUCGACGUUGACGAAAUCAUUCUCAUGGGUAACACUCCUGUCAAUGGCCUCCUGCAGCAUUGGGAAGAUUAUACGAUGCGGAAG
This is a long non-coding RNA of Vicia villosa (hairy vetch), 470 nucleotides long. RefSeq lists it as uncharacterized. The transcript has 3 exons. The record is from RefSeq and is a predicted model, not a curated record. NCBI's taxonomy places the organism in Eukaryota, Viridiplantae, Streptophyta, Magnoliopsida, Fabales, Fabaceae.